RNAcentral lists this unclassified non-coding RNA (403 nucleotides) under Hevea brasiliensis (rubber tree). The record is from RNAcentral. Lineage: Eukaryota; Viridiplantae; Streptophyta; Magnoliopsida; Malpighiales; Euphorbiaceae.
CAUGACCACUUCAAAUGGUGCAUAUGUUGAUAUCCAAUCGAAGUCUACUGCUUUCUUGCCUUUGGAUGAGGCAUGCCUUCUCGAUGUCAACCAUAUAGAAGAGGCAGGGAUCCGUGCAGGUUUGGUAGAAGAGUUCAUGAUUAUUGACGAGAAUCCUGGUGAUGAAACUUUGAUUUUGAGCUUACAAGCAAUUCAGCAAGACCUUGCCUGGGAAAGGUGCAGACAGCUUCAAGCAGAAGAUGUUGUUGUCACGGGUAAAGUAAUUGGUGGAAACAAAGGAGGUGUGGUAGCUCUUGUGGAGGGCCUUAAGGGAUUUGUUCCAUUUUCACAAGUGUCAUCGAAAUCAACUGCUGAAGAACUGCUUGACAAAGAACUACCUCUGAAGUUUGUGGAGGUCGAUGAG